CACAAAGUACAGUUCGGCACACCAACAAUUAAAUACACUCCCGUGGAUAGUUCAAAAAUAUAUUUAAUUCAAUCGAAACUACAUUGUUUGAAGUCACCUUUGGCACCUGCAGAUCCUUGUUGAAGCGCAUCCCGGUCUGUGUCUCUAUGUCCUAUAAGCUUACACGAUGAUCGCACAAUUUGCCAACUGAUUCGGCCUAUCCAGCGGCUCCAGCGGCUUCGCCCCAGCACGCCCUUCCACAGCUGCUAAGGGCGCAGGUUUCUGGUUACUACGCAUACCUGAGGCCGAAGAGGAACCACCGGAUAUAUGUAGCUUCUGGCGAUUGGCUGAUCCCCCUUGAUCGCAUUGAAUAGCUUCUCGAUGGAUACCUCCUGCUGCAGAAAGCACCGAAAACGAAGCCAGUGAUUCCAAACAGAACGUACCUGGCAAUACCUUGGGGUUCUGUCAUGGUGUUUAGGUCUUCAAUUGUUGACCAACUAACACUAAUAUUAACAUUAAUUUAAAAAGCGCUUAUUAACUGUCGAAUUUUUCCGAGAAAAUGUAUUUUUCUAACAGUAUGUCUAGGUGUAGGUUCUAUUGCAUUAUGAAACAUAAUAUAUUAUAAAAUAAAAUACUAUUCUUGAGAAAA
Long non-coding RNA from Drosophila guanche, 628 nucleotides. RefSeq lists it as uncharacterized. NCBI's taxonomy places the organism in Eukaryota, Metazoa, Arthropoda, Insecta, Diptera, Drosophilidae. The record is from RefSeq and is a predicted model, not a curated record. The transcript has 2 exons.